AAGCUGUAGUUGAAUUUCGGGCCUGGUUGAGCGGUUUAGACGCAAGUUUAACACUGCUCUGGCUGGGUCUUUCCUUCUGGGGAACUUAUGUGCUCUUUAUUGAGUGCGUAAGGGAUCCAGGACUGUUACUCUGAAAAAAUCAGAGUGUUUAAAACAGGCUUACGCUUGAAUACAUUAGCAUGGAAUAACGGAUAGGACUUUGUUUCUAUUUUGUUGGUUUGGAGGAAUAAGUAAUGAUUAAUAGAGAUAGUUGGG
RNAcentral lists this ribosomal RNA (255 nucleotides) under uncultured fungus. Its description in RNAcentral is "partial 18S ribosomal RNA". It matches the Rfam family "Eukaryotic small subunit ribosomal RNA", at positions 630 to 886 of the family's 1831-position model. The record is from RNAcentral. Lineage: Eukaryota; Fungi.